UCCUAGCCGUAAACGAUGGGCACUAGGUAGGGGGAGCUCCUAUGGUUCUCCUUGCCGUAGCAAAUGUGUUAAGUGCCCCGCCUGGGGAGUACGCUCGCAAGGGUAAAACUCAAAGGAAUUGACGGGGGCUCACACAAGCGGUGGGAGCAUGUGGUUUAAUUUCGAAGCAACGCGAAGAACCUUACCUGGCCUUGACAUCUACGGAUUAGCCCCUUGAAAGAGGGGUUACAGCU
Molecule: ribosomal RNA, 233 nt
Filed under: uncultured bacterium
Lineage: Bacteria
Description: partial 16S ribosomal RNA
Rfam family: Bacterial small subunit ribosomal RNA
Source: RNAcentral